GAUGAACGCUGGCGGCGUGCUUAACACAUGCAAGUCGAACGGGAAACCUUUUAAUGAAGCUUCGGCAGAUUUAGCUGGUUUCUAGUGGCGGACGGGUGAGUAACGCGUGGGUAACCUGCCUUAUACAGGGGGAUAACAGUCAGAAAUGACUGCUAAUACCGCAUAAGCGCACAGGACCGCAUGGUCCGGUGUGAAAAACUCCGGUGGUAUAAGAUGGACCCGCGUUGGAUUAGCUUGUUGGUGGGGUAACGGCUCACCAAGGCGACGAUCCAUAGCCGGCCUGAGAGAGUGAACGGCCACAUUGGGACUGAGACACGGCCCAGACUCCUACGGGAGGCAGCAGUGGGGAAUAUUGCACAAUGGGGGAAAACCUGAUGCAGCGACGCCGCGUGAAGGAAGAAGUAUCUCGGUAUGUAAACUUCUAUAAGCAGGGAAGAUAGUGACGGUACCUGACUAAGAAGCCCCGGCUAACUACGUG
Molecule: ribosomal RNA, 478 nt
Filed under: uncultured bacterium
Lineage: Bacteria
Description: partial 16S ribosomal RNA
Rfam family: Bacterial small subunit ribosomal RNA
Source: RNAcentral